Molecule: long non-coding RNA, 796 nt
Filed under: Bos mutus (wild yak)
Lineage: Eukaryota; Metazoa; Chordata; Mammalia; Artiodactyla; Bovidae
Description: lncRNA (ENSBMUG00000024442.1)
Source: RNAcentral
CAAAUUAUUGCUGUACAGAAGAUCUUUAUUUUUUCUGUUUCAUUAACAGAUUAUUAUAAAGCAAUAAGCAUGCAGGAGGAGAAGCAGACCUUUUACCUUGGGAAUUAAUGAAAGCAUUUCUGAUCAUUUUUUUGGAGGUGGGGAAUUGUUUAAAAUCUUAUACCACCCCCACAAAUUCUUCUGAAAUGGUAAAAUAAGGAAAUGCAUGAUUCCAGAGACACGCUUAACUACCAGGUGUCAGGCUAUGUGCUGUCUUGUGAUAUCAUCGGACCUUUUGAACGGGUGGAGGGAAAAGUUCAGAAGCAGCUACAGGGGACAAAAGCCCAUUUUUACUAGUUCAACAGGACAGGACAUUCAAUAAACCCAGCCCGCUCUGGAAACGGGUCGGGGCUCCAGUUGGCUCCACAGAGGCAGAAGUAGCCACUGCCGCCUCCCUCGCCCCCGCAUUCCGCCGCGGCCCCUGCGUUACUGGGGGAGACGGUGCCGCUGCGACAGGGGAGGACGCGGCUGGAGCUCAAGGAGGCUCCAUCGCGCAGGCGCCGCCGAGCCCUGCCUGGAUGCUCAGUCAAGGCACUAAGGCAAAAAAAAAAUCAGCAAUUUAUAGAAAGAAGAAGCUAUAGUCUGUCGGGAUAUCCAACACCAACAGAUAUUCUGAUGGCAAAUCAAGUGAAAGAAAAGAGGAAGCAUGACUGCAGAUCAGAUCCGUUCUCUUUGUGGAUUACAUUUUCAGUAAAAUGUAUGGAUCUAUCUUUUCCUUGUUCUUAUAUCUAGAUCAUGAGACUUGACUGAGGCUGUA